Molecule: long non-coding RNA, 654 nt
Organism: Biomphalaria glabrata
Lineage: Eukaryota; Metazoa; Mollusca; Gastropoda; Planorbidae
Exons: 2
Source: RefSeq, a predicted model, not a curated record
CAAUACCACUCUUUUGUUAUCUAAGGUGUUUUCCUUCAAAUUAUACUUUCUUGCAUAAGAAUUAAAUAUAUUAUGCAACCAUUCUCAAUUAGAAGUACAGAUUAACCAGUUAUCUUGGUGGAAAAGGAUGUCAGAUGAGUUGAGAAAAUGCUUAAAGAAAGUCUUUACAUAAUUCUUUGAACUAAGUCACUAUAAAUAUUUUGGAGAUUUAAAAAAUUUAAUUAGAAUUUUAUUAUUGCUCACAUUAAAAGCAAUUGUUCUUUUCUUUUCUGCAGAUGUAUAUUUCAAGAAGAAAUGAUGCUUUCUUAUUUCUAAGAGUUUAUCAAUAGGAUGAAUGCCACAAAACUCACUUGUUAUGCCAGAAACUCUUCCUACGAAACUUCCAUACUAGAAUUUGUCCAGUGCCUGUGAUCCUCUGAGUUGAAGGAGAAUGUGCUCCAUAAUACCUACUAGGAGCUUGCUGAUAGCUGGAAGUUCAUGAAUACUAUGUUGUCCUUGAUUUGAUGAUUCUGAAAACUACCAUUUCUGAAGACUUGAGCAUUAUUUCUAUAAUUUAAAAAAAUCUUUUCAGGAAAUAUUGUGUUUAUAAUAUUAAGAAAGUGAAGAUAAUAUUGUUCUUACUAAUAUUAUUGACUUAUUAAAAUAGAAAGCACA